Molecule: RNA transcript, 2482 nt
Organism: Abrus precatorius (Indian licorice)
Lineage: Eukaryota; Viridiplantae; Streptophyta; Magnoliopsida; Fabales; Fabaceae
Gene name: ultraviolet-B receptor UVR8-like
Exons: 10
Source: RefSeq, a predicted model, not a curated record
UCAACCCCUCUUUUUCGCUGCAACAAAUAGAGCGUCGUCGUUUCGUUCUUCUUUGGCAGAAGAGCAUAGGGGAUUUCCAUCUGCGUUUUGGAGCUUCCACUUGUCGUUUUCCAGAUCGGAGAAUUCUCUCGCCAUGAACGGAAACGAAGCCGUCGAAGAUGCGAAGGUGGUGGAGGAAGAGUUCACGGAGAAAAUGGUGUACAUGUGGGGAUACCUUCCCGGAGCCUCGCCGGAAAAAGCGCCGAUACUGUCUCCGGCUCCGGUACAUCUCUCCGAUCCCUCACUCGCCGGAGAUUCCUGGAAGGACGUGUGCGGCGGCGGUUGUGGAUUCGCCAUGGCCAUCUCAGAGAAAGGGAAGCUUAUAACGUGGGGCUCCACGGAUGAAGAAAGCCAGAGCUACUUGACGUCCGGGAAGCGUGGGGAGAUGCCAGGGCCAUUUCAGCUUCCCACUGAGGCUUCAGUGGUGAAGGCUGCUGCUGGUUGGGCUCAUUGUGCUUCUGUCACUGAAGAAGGUGAAGUGUAUGCAUGGGGCUGGAAAGAAUGUGUGCCCUCUGGAAAAGUUAUUACUGAUUUCAUCACUGUGGGAAGCCUCCAAAAGGAUGUUGCUGGGAAACAAAGUUCAUCAAUAGCUGAACAAGGAAGCCCACAAAGUUCGAAUACAAGUAGUGGAUCAGAUUCACAUCAUGACAACAAGAAAGUUGGAGAGGAAGUUGUAAAGCGAAGGAAGAUCUCUUUUUCUAGACAGGAUUCUGACAGUCAAGCAUCUGGAGAUGAAUUCUUUACCGUGUCCCCUUCUCUUGUGACCCUUGGUCAUGGAGUGAAAAUUACCUCUGUAGCAGUUGGUGGGCGUCAUACCUUGGCACUGUCAGAUGUGGGACAGGUCUGGGGCUGGGGCUAUGGAGGUGAAGGACAGCUAGGUUUGGGUUCUCGAGUAAAGAUGGUAUCAUCUCCUCAUCUUAUACCAUGUGUUGAAUCUGCUUCUGGGAAGGAUAGGUCAACAACUCUUCAUCAAGGAAGUAGUGCUGGAGCCCAAGGGCCAAAUGUUCCUGGAAGUUGUGUGAUGGAAAUAGCUUGUGGAGGACGGCAUAGUGCAGUGAUAACAGAUGCGGGGGCGCUUCUUACUUUUGGCUGGGGUCUUUAUGGUCAGUGUGGACAAGGAAAUAAUGCUGAUCAGCUGAGACCAACUCUAGUUCCUUCUUUGUUGGGAACUAGAGUGGAAAAAAUAGCUGCUGGACUUUGGCAUACAUUGUGUGUCACUGAAAAUGGUCAAAUUUAUGCAUUUGGUGGGAAUCAAUUUGGACAAUUGGGUACCGGUAGUGACCAGCCUGAGAUUUCACCUAGACUGUUGGAUGCUUCCUGUUUUAAGAAUAAGCAUUCUAGUAUAGUUUCUUGUGGGGCUCGUCACAGUGCUUUGCUAACAGGUAUGUCUCCAUUAACAUAUCCUUCAGGGAAACUUUUAGAGCCAAGCUUAGUGACUGCAUACUUUGAUAAUGCUAUGGCUUAUUCAUAUUCAAGAACUGACAAGAGAGAUUCGUGCCAACAAUCAUUAUAUGGAACAAGCAUGCUAUGGUGGUUCAUUAUAUUCAUCACUAUGCUAAUUUCAUUGUCAUUGCACCUAUGGUGGUUAAGCUCAUCCUUCAACUAUGGGGCUGCUUAGUCUCAUCCUUCAGCUAAUAUCUUUUAUGCUUUCAAAUCUAGGCCAGAACAAAUUUUCAAAGCAUCCAAGAAUAUUUGAUGAAAAAUUAUCAUUGUUUAUUGACAAGAAAAAGUAUUGUAGAUGAUGGUGUUUUACAAAUUGUAUCUAGUUUUACAUGUAUUCUUACAGUCAUUGUUUUCUGUUUCUCAUAUUGAAGAUGAUGGGCACCUAUUUACUUGGGGAUGGAACAAGUAUGGCCAGCUUGGCCUAGGAGAUUCUGUUGACAGAAACAUUCCGUGUCAAGUUUCUAUUGCUGAUUGCAGACCAAGAAAUGUUACCUGUGGUUGGUGGCAUACACUGCUGCUGGUUGAUAAACCAGCUUGACUUCAUUUGUUCUUUAGCCUCAAGGUGGUUGCACGGUUUUGAUGAGUUACUGACUAGUCGACAUUUCACUAGUGGAAUGUAGAUAUGUCCAAAAUCACCCAACAUGUUGGUUUGUUAUUUUCAUCCAUCGUUCUCAUUUUCCUAUCUCAGCCUACCUUGAGUGCUUUCCCUUUCCCUUUCUCUAGCUUUCCAUGUCUAGAUUUUCGCUUUUGUUUUGCAUAGACUUCCCAAGCAAUGCAAGACUGUUUCAUGGACUUCUGAUUAUGAAUGUGUAAAAUAUAAAUAUUUUGUGCCUGUGAAGAAGCACUACGUUGCCAAUAGACAGCGCUGCGAUUCCUUUUUCUGGAACUAGUUAUGAUCCACAACCGGUAUAAAGUAACGGGUCCAUGGUUUGAUCGAUGAACCAGACAAUCCAAUCCAAAGCAAUUAAACUAGUUCAAAUUUGUUUGAAUAAUUGAUUAA